Molecule: ribosomal RNA, 388 nt
Filed under: uncultured bacterium
Lineage: Bacteria
Description: bacterial SSU rRNA
Rfam family: Bacterial small subunit ribosomal RNA
Source: RNAcentral
AACGAACGCUGGCGGCAGGCUUAACACAUGCAAGUCGAGCGGUAAGGCCCUUUCGGGGGUACACGAGCGGCGAACGGGUGAGUAACACGUGGGUGACCUGCCCUCAGCUCUGGGAUAAGCCUGGGAAACCGGGUCUAAUACUGGAUAUGACUCCAUGACGCAUGUUGUGGGGUGGAAAGCCUUGUGCGGCUGAGGAUGGGCCCGCGGCCUAUCAGCUUGUUGGUGGGGUGANGGCCUACCAAGGCGACGACGGGUAGCCGGCUUGAGAGGGCGACCGGCCACACUGGGACUGAGACACGGCCCAGACUCCUACGGGAGGCAGCAGUGGGGAAUCUUGCGCAAUGGGCGAAAGCCUGACGCAGCGACGCCGCGUGAGGGAUGACGGCCU